Molecule: ribosomal RNA, 464 nt
Filed under: uncultured bacterium
Lineage: Bacteria
Description: bacterial SSU rRNA
Rfam family: Bacterial small subunit ribosomal RNA
Source: RNAcentral
AUGAACGUUGGCGGCGUGGAUUAGGCAUGCAAGUCGAGCGGAAAGGCCCGCAAGGGCACUCGAGCGGCGUAAGGGACAGUAAUGUGUAGGUACGUACCCCUGGGACUGGGAUAGCUGCGGGAAACUGCAAUUAAUACCAGAUAACGUCUUCGGACCAAAGGUGUGAUUCCGCCUGGGGAGCGGCCUGCAUCCUAUUAGCUAGUUGGUGUGGUAAUGGCGCACCAAGGCAAAGAUGGGUAGCAGGUGUGAGAGCACGACCUGCGUCACUGGGACUGAGACACUGCCCAGACACCUACGGGUGGCUGCAGUCGAGGAUCUUCGGCAAUGGGCGCAAGCCUGACCGAGCGACGCCGCGUGUGGGAUGAAGGCCUUCGGGUUGUAAACCACUGUCAGAGGGGAUGAAAUGCCGUUGGGUUCUCCCAGCGGUUUGACAGAUCCUCAGAGGAAGGGUGGGCUAAGUUCGU